CCUACGGGAGGCAGCAGUGAGGAAUAUUGGUCAAUGGGCGCGAGCCUGAACCAGCCAAGUAGCGUGAAGGAUUAAUGCCCUACGGGUUGUAAACUUCUUUUAUCAAGGAAUAGAGUGCGGCACGUGUGCCUGUUUGUAUGUACUUUAUGAAUAAGGAUCGGCUAACGCCGUGCCAGCAGCCGCGGGAAUACGGAGGAUCCGAGCCGUAUCCGGAUUUAUUGGGUUUAAAGGGAGCGUAGAUGGGUUGUUCAGUCAGUUGGGAAAGUUUGCGGCCCAACCGUAAAAGUGCAAUUGAUACUGGCAGCCUUGAGUACAGUUGAGGUAGGCGGAAUGCGUGGUGUAGCGGUGAAAUGCUUAGAUAUCACGAAGAACUCCGAUUGCGAAGGCAGCUUACCAAACUGCCACUGACAUUGAGGCUCGAAAGUGUGGGUAUCAAACAGGAUUAGAUACCCGAGUAGUC
RNAcentral lists this ribosomal RNA (460 nucleotides) under uncultured bacterium. Its description in RNAcentral is "partial 16S ribosomal RNA". It matches the Rfam family "Bacterial small subunit ribosomal RNA", at positions 338 to 795 of the family's 1533-position model. The record is from RNAcentral.